CCUACGGGAGGCAGCAGUGGGGGAUAUUGCACAAUGGGGGAAACCCUGAUGCGGCGACGCCGCGUGGGUGAAGAAGGGCCUCGGCGCGUAAAGCCCUGUCAGCAGGGAAGAAAAUGACGGUACCUGAAGAAGAAGCCCCGGCUAACUACGUGCCAGCAGCCGCGGUAAUACGUAGGGGGCAAGCGUUAGCCGGAUUGACUGGGGGUAAAGGGGGCGCAGACGGCGAUGCAAGCCAGGCGUGAAAGCCCGGGGCCCAACCCCGGGAAUGCUCUUGGAACUGCGUGGCUAGAGUGCAGGAGGGGCAGGCGGAAUUCCUGGUGUAGCGGUGAAAUGCGUAGAUAUCAGGAGGAACACCGGUGGCGAAGGCGGCCUGCUGGACUGCAACUGACGUUGAGGCCCGAAAGCGUGGGGAGCAAACAGGAUUAGAUACCCGUGUAGUC
Molecule: ribosomal RNA, 440 nt
Filed under: uncultured bacterium
Lineage: Bacteria
Description: partial 16S ribosomal RNA
Rfam family: Bacterial small subunit ribosomal RNA
Source: RNAcentral